Molecule: long non-coding RNA, 690 nt
Filed under: Sorghum bicolor (sorghum)
Lineage: Eukaryota; Viridiplantae; Streptophyta; Magnoliopsida; Poales; Poaceae
Description: long non-coding RNA (SBIC_LNC008529)
Source: RNAcentral
AAGGCAUGAUAUAAAGUUGAGCUGCUGUUUAUCUUGUUCCUACUACACUAAGUUCUAGAGAUUUAUUUUGAAAACUUACAAAUCACAUGAUGAGUUCCUAGCAUAACAAAACUACCUACCACAGCCAUACUUGCUAUAACAUCUUCUACUAUAUUUACAUUGAGUUUGAUCGAGCUGUGUAGACCCUUAGGAGCUUUUCAUGUGGUUGAAUUAAGAUAUUCACUUGCACACAUCUACCACAGCAUUCAUCAUCAAUCAUUAAAAUUGCUAUAAAAUAUUAUCACUCACUGUCCCAAGUAUUGUUAUUCUCUCUCUCUAAAAAGAUUCAAUGCAGAAGAGGCAUGGGUUAUGCAAAAAAAAAUAAUAUAUGCGAGGAAAUAAAAAGGGGCAAGUGCCUGGAACCUCGGAAAAGAAAGAAAAAGAGUGAGACGAGAGGUAAAAAUGGACAAGUGUCCGGAGUAGAAUUAGGGGUACAAAGAUGCCCACUUGAGCGGAAAAAAUGGACAAGUGUCCGACAGUAGAAUUAGGGGUAUCUACUACCCACCUGAAAAAAGAGAGAGAAAAAGAUAGCCCAUGUUCUCCCAAAGCAAAGAUCAAAGAAGAGAAGAGAUAGAAAUAUAAGGAGCAAUGAGAAGUAAGUUUUAUUAUCACUUAUGCAUUUUCACCAUCACAAUCAUUUACUCCAUCACA